CCUACGGGGGGCUGCAGUGGGGAAUAUUGCACAAUGGGCGCAAGCCUGAUGCAGCCAUGCCGCGUGUGUGAAGAAGGCCUUCGGGUUGUAAAGCACUUUCAGCGGGGAGGAAGGCGGUGAGGUUAAUAACCUCAUCGAUUGACGUUACCCGCAGAAGAAGCACCGGCUAACUCCGUGCCAGCAGCCGCGGUAAUACGGAGGGUGCAAGCGUUAAUCGGAAUUACUGGGCGUAAAGCGCACGCAGGCGGUCUGUCAAGUCGGAUGUGAAAUCCCCGGGCUCAACCUGGGAACUGCAUUCGAAACUGGCAGGCUAGAGUCUUGUAGAGGGGGGUAGAAUUCCAGGGGUAGCGGUGAAAUGCGUAGAGAUCUGGAGGAAUACCGGUGGCGAAGGCGGCCCCCUGGACAAAGACUGACGCUCAGGUGCGAAAGCGUGGGGAGCAAACAGGAUUAGAUACCCUAGUAGUC
RNAcentral lists this ribosomal RNA (465 nucleotides) under uncultured Klebsiella sp. RNAcentral describes it as "bacterial SSU rRNA". It matches the Rfam family "Bacterial small subunit ribosomal RNA", at positions 338 to 795 of the family's 1533-position model. The record is from RNAcentral. Lineage: Bacteria; Pseudomonadati; Pseudomonadota; Gammaproteobacteria; Enterobacterales; Enterobacteriaceae.